AACGGGAAACCUUUUAUUGAAGCUUCGGCAGAUUUAGCUGGUUUCUAGUGGCGGACGGGUGAGUAACGCGUGGGUAACCUGCCUUAUACAGGGGGAUAACAACCAGAAAUGGUUGCUAAUACCGCAUAAGCGCACAGGACCGCAUGGUCCGGUGUGAAAAACUCCGGUGGUAUAAGAUGGACCCGCGUUGGAUUAGCUAGUUGGCAGGGCAACGGCCUACCAAGGCGACGAUCCAUAGCCGGCCUGAGAGGGUGAACGGCCACAUUGGGACUGAGACACGGCCCAGACUCCUACGGGAGGCAGCAGUGGGGAAUAUUGCACAAUGGGGGAAACCCUGAUGCAGCGACGCCGCGUGAAGGAAGAAGUAUCUCGGUAUGUAAACUUCUAUCAGCAGGGAAGAUAGUGACGGUACCUGACUAAGAAGCCCCGGCUAACUACGUGCCAGCAGCCGCGGUAAUACGUAGGGGGCAAGCGUUAUCCGGAUUUACUGGGUGUAAAGGGAGCGUAGACGGACUGGCAAGUCUGAUGUGAAAGGCGGGGGCUCAACCCCUGGACUGCAUUGGAAACUGUUAGUCUUGAGUGCCGGAGAGGUAAGCGGAAUUCCUAGUGUAGCGGUGAAAUGCGUAGAUAUUAGGAGGAACACCAGUGGCGAAGGCGGCUUACUGGACGGUAACUGACGUUGAGGCUCGAAAGCGUGGGG
This 700-nucleotide ribosomal RNA is filed under the name uncultured bacterium. RNAcentral describes it as "bacterial SSU rRNA". It matches the Rfam family "Bacterial small subunit ribosomal RNA", at positions 65 to 766 of the family's 1533-position model. The record is from RNAcentral.